AUGUGCAUAAUUUGGUAAUGUGAC
This 24-nucleotide non-coding RNA is filed under the name Arabidopsis thaliana (thale cress). Lineage: Eukaryota; Viridiplantae; Streptophyta; Magnoliopsida; Brassicales; Brassicaceae. The record is from RNAcentral.